This is an RNA transcript of Castor canadensis (American beaver), 4767 nucleotides long. It is a transcript of the gene named SPNS lysolipid transporter 3, sphingosine-1-phosphate (putative), with no coding region annotated. The record is from RefSeq and is a predicted model, not a curated record. NCBI's taxonomy places the organism in Eukaryota, Metazoa, Chordata, Mammalia, Rodentia, Castoridae.
CUGCUGAGUGCCCAGAUCCUGGGCCAGGAGGGCUGCAGGGCCAGUCCCCCGGGCCAGGCAGGCAUUAUGGGGCCUUGGCCUCAGGUCAGUGUCCCCCACCCUCCAUGCCUGCCCAGUGGAGCCUGGCCCGCUGGAGAGCAUAUGUGGUUACCGUGGUUCUCUGCUACAUCAACCUCUUGAACUACAUGAACUGGUUUGUCAUUGCAGGAGUGCUGCUGGAUGUACAGAAGUCUUUUCAGAUCAGUGACAGCAAUGCUGGCUUGCUUCAGACAGUUUUCAUCGGCUGCCUGCUGGUGUCUGCACCUGUGUUUGGCUACCUGGGUGACCGCUAUAGCCGCAAGGCCACACUGAGCUUUGGGAUCCUACUCUGGUCAGGGGCUGGCCUCUCUAGCUCCUUCAUCACCCUUCAGUAUUCUUGGCUCUUCUUCCUGGCCCGGGGAGCUGUGGGUAUUGGCACAGCCAGCUAUUCCACCAUUGCUCCCACUCUCCUGGGCGACCUCUUCGUGCAGGACCAGCGAACCCGAGUGCUGGCCAUCUUCUACAUCUUCAUCCCUGUUGGAAGUGGUCUGGGCUAUGUGCUGGGGUCAGCUGUGGCAAAGCUGACUGGGAACUGGCGUUGGGCCCUCCGAAUCAUGCCCUGCCUGGAAGCUGUGGCCUUGAUCCUGCUCAUCCUGCUGGUUCCAGACCCACCCAGAGGAGCUGCUGAGAAGCAGGAGGAGAUAGCAGUGGGGAACCCGAGGAGCAGCUGGUGUGAGGAUGUCAGAUACCUGGGGAGAAACUGGAGUUUUGUGUGGUCGACACUUGGAGUGACAGCUAUGGCUUUUGUGACUGGAGCCCUGGGCUUCUGGGCACCCAAGUUUCUGUUCGAGGCCCGUGUGGUGCAUGGGCUGCAACUUCCCUGCUUCCAGGAGCCAUGUAGCAGUGAGGACAGCCUGAUUUUUGGGGCACUGACCAUUGUGACUGGCAUCAUUGGUGUCAUCCUGGGGGCUGAAGCUGCAAGGAGGUACAAGAAAGUGAAUCCUAGGGCUGAACCCCUCAUCUGUGCCUUCAGCCUGCUUGCCACAGCCCCCUGCCUCUACCUGGCACUCAUCUUGGCUCCAACCGCCCUCCUGGCCUCCUAUGUGUUCCUGGCCCUUGGGGAGCUGCUCCUAUCCUGCAAUUGGGCAGUGGUUGCUGACAUCCUGCUGGCAGACUCCAUGGCCUGCUUUCUGGAGAGUACAGAGGAGCUGCUGGACUUCAGGGAAGUAACCACUGAGCUCAGCUGGGUCCAGCCCACCCCACCCCAUGUGUCAUGGGCUGGAAUGCAAGGGGCUGGCUCAUCCAUCAUGAGGUCAGAUGCUGUGCUGACCACACUACUCUGCUAUGUACAUAAUCCAGUGGCCCAGGCUCAGCCAGCGUGGAGAGCGCUGCCCUGUCUUUGGCCCUGUCCGUGGUGGUGCCCAGGUGCCGGGGGACAGCAGAGGCGCUUCAGAUCACAAUGGGCCACAUUCUUGGAGAUGCCGGCAGCCCCUACCUCACAGGACUCAUCUCCAGUACCCUGCGUGCAAGGCGCUCUGACUCCUACCUGCAGCGCUUUCUCAGCCUGCAGCAGAGCUUCCUGUGCUGUGCCUUUGCCAUUGCCCUGGGUGGUGGCUGCUUCCUACUGACUGCAUUGCACCUGGAGAGAGACCAGGCCCAGGCCUGGCAGCCUGGCACAGGUACCCUGGACGGCAAGAACAAGGAGCGCCAUGGCCUGCUUUCUGGCACCAGCACCUCCACAUAGGAGCCCUGAGGCCCUUACUCUGCAGUGAGGAGGUCCCUAACAGUACCAGUACCUCUGCCCUUCAUGGCUGUGACUCAGAGACCCCAGCCUAACUGCACCUGUCACUUGUUCUCCAGGCUAGAGGGCUGGCAAGGCCCAGCAGCUGGCUGGGGAUUGAACUGUUGGUGCUCUCUAGGGAGACUGGCCUGGGCCUGCAUCCAGCACAAGGCCCCUCCUGCCUACAGGCCUCAGCCUGGCUGCCCACAGCCUUGAUUAAAGCAGGGCCAGUGCAAAGCUCACAGAUGUCAGGUCUUCAGACAGUCCUGUCAUUUACAGCCUCACAGAAUCUCUGCAGGAAGGGGGAGGGGGAGAAGAAGAGCGGGGCAGUCCAGGCCCAGGAUGUAUGGUGGCUCACUAAAGUGGAGACACUGAGGGGAGCACUCAGCUUGGGCCUCUAGGUGUUCCCACCCUGGACCCAGCUUCUCCAGGCUGCAAGGUCGUCAAUCCUCCCUCUAAAUAGAAGGUGGUCUUGGAGAUAAGUUUGCACUCAGAGCUGGUGUGGGGGUGUGCCCCUUAGAGGAGUAUCCAAGCCUGCACAGAAGCACAGCAGCUGCCCCUGAACCACGUGGAGAGCCUGACAUGGUUGUGCCCUAUCCUGGGUACCCCUCCCCCUCAGCACUGUCUGUGGCUCUGUGGGACCUAUACACGUAACUGGGUUCAGAGCAGCUGGGCUCAGCGGACCCUGCAGGAGAUCAACAGCUUCCAGGCAGGCAGCAGUAGGGAGGCAUGUUUCUUCUCUCCCUGAACCAGAGCUUCCAUCACCGCCCCUGGAGCCUGGCCAGGUCAUUACUCCCUCUCUUGUUGAUUGCCUCUAAGCAGCCAUGGGUGGAGCAGUGGCUCUGGCCUCCUGCACCACCUUGCCUGCCUCUGGUCCUUGCCUGCCUCAUGGGUACCUCCUUGACUCUCACUGUUGGCUAUGACAGGUCCCAGACUCUCCAACUCAGCCCACACUUUCCUCCAGGGUCAGCCCUCCUGAAGAGCAAGCAUCUCCAGGCCGACCAGCCCUGAUCCAAGGCUUGAUACCUAGAGCUCAUGAAACAGCUACCCUGAAGUUUCGAGGAAAUGCAUCUGAAUGAUAGUUCGCUUCCCAAAGAGGAGGCAGCCAGUCUGAGCUGGAGCAGAAUUCCAUUCCCCCUCAGCAUUCACUGGCUGUGUGACCAGGGCCACCUCCGACCUCUGUCUGAGCUCUAUUUGAUUCCCCAGCUCUAUUUGAGAGGUGUCAAAUGUAGGUUUCUAGCCCAGGCCCCAUGUGAUUCUCCCAGGUUGGCUCUAGACCCACAGAAGCCCAACUCCAAAGUCUGAACAUUCCACCUACCAGCCCUGGGGAGCUGUGAGGCUCAGCAUCCAGAAAUGGGCAAGGGAUCCCUGAGAGUUCUCCCCACCCCCCUUUCCAGUGGCUGAGGAGGAAGAUCAGAAAUCUUAUCCAUGCCAAUUCUGCAUACAUAUAUUGGUAUGCCUUCAAGGUGUCAGGUAGUGAAUGACACUUGAACUCUGCCCUAAGACCUCCCAGUCCAAGGCAGGACAGAGAUCCCUGGGCUAGUCCAAGUGAGACACUCCUGUGAGAAGGGACCACUCGGAAGCCUUCCAGGAGCUGGUAAAAGUGGGAGGUGUGGGGGAAGGGAAUCCUAGGUGAAUGGAACAGGACAAAGUUCAGGAUGUGAGGCAGAAGACGUGAGGAAUCACAGAAGUGUGGUGUGACUGGAGAGGAGAAUGUGUGUAUUGUUGGUGGGGAGAGGAGGACCUGGGCUUCUGCCCUCUGAUCCAGGGUACUCCAAUGCUGGGUUCCUGGGCAAGGCAAGGUGGUGCUUCCCAAGAUGCUCAGCUAGGAGUUUAUAAGAUGUCAUCUUCCAAAGUGGUCUGGGGAGAGCUGGAGCGCUGGGACUGGCUCAUCUUGGGAAGGACGGAGACCAAUAUCUUGUCUGAAGACAAAGGUCCUAGCUUUGCUCAGCUCCUAUCUCCUGUCUUUUUGGGACUGGUCACAGUGGGCCGAGGUCACAGGUAUGGGUUCUGUGACAGGUCUGAAGAGCCUGGCCACUCAGGCGAGAGUGGAGGAGUCUCAUAAACAACACAUCUUACCUGCCUGAAGGGUACUUGAGUAAUCCCAGUCACCGAUAGAUACACUGGACUCGUUUACUGGGAAUGUCAACAGGAGGGAAAAUGCUGCUCAGCGAGACAAGUCCUGAAGCCUGACCUUGCUCACUUCAAUAACUUGGUUUCCAGGUUAGACCCUGGCUGGCAGGUGUGCCUGUCCAUAUGCAUGUGUACUCGAAGUGGCUCACGCUCAUCUCUAUGUAGGUGUGUGAGCAUGUGAGGGGUGUUUAUAGGGUAUUCAUAAAAGCUCUCCUUCCUCUCUGACCAUAGGCUUGGGGCAUUGAUACCUACACCCCAGCCCUGGCUUGUUCACCUACAUCACCAUUCCCUGAAGUGUGUGACUUUCCCCCAUGCCCGGGUGGUCUAGAGGUUGUUAAGCUAAGAAGGUCUGUAAAGAAGAGCUGGCAGGAAUCACUGCUAGAGCCUGGCUUUACUCCCAUACAGGUUGCUGAGUGGCAGCAUCGGCCCCUCUGGAUGGAACGCAUUAGUAUGGGCUGUGGUUUGUGUGCAACAGAAAUGGACUGACUACCUUAAGUAGGAAAGGGGUUUAUUGGAGGCAUAUCAGGAGCUUACAGAAUUGAUGGGAAGGCUGCAGAUUCUAGAGCCAGGGUUGCUGGGCUACUUUAUUUGGAGGUCUUCAUUAGGUUUCCAGACAUUUUCCCUAUUCUUUUGCCACCUACUCAAAAUUUAAAGUCCUGUGCAUGAGACUCCAUUUGGGGUGGCUUGGACCCCGUGCCCAUGCCUAAUCUAUAGUUUCAUUAAGACCAGGAAACCAGAGCCCUGUUAGGAAGAAGAAUGAAUGAAUUCUAUUAUCAAAACAAAGCAGCAAGGCUGACAGUAUUGCUCAGUGGCAAAGUGCUUGCCUAGCAUGCUUG